This 132-nucleotide non-coding RNA is filed under the name Candidatus Parcubacteria bacterium. RNAcentral's name for it is "Parcubacteria Nomurabacteria SAM-I sequence". It matches the Rfam family "SAM riboswitch aptamer (S box leader)". Rfam says of the family: The SAM riboswitch is found upstream of a number of genes which code for proteins involved in methionine or cysteine biosynthesis in Gram-positive bacteria. The SAM riboswitch acts at the level of transcription termination control. The predicted structure consists of a complex stem-loop region followed by a single stem loop terminator region. Lineage: Bacteria; Candidatus Parcubacteria. The record is from RNAcentral.
UAAUUAUCAGGAGUAUGGCGAGAGCAACUGGCUCAAUGACCCAUCAGCAACCUACUAAAGCAAGGUGCUAAAUCCAGCCAACAAACCUGCCUACGCAUAAAGCUACGGCAAGGCGCGGUGGAAAGAUAAGAC